RNAcentral lists this ribosomal RNA (160 nucleotides) under Olea europaea subsp. europaea. RNAcentral's name for it is "Bacterial large subunit ribosomal RNA". Lineage: Eukaryota; Viridiplantae; Streptophyta; Magnoliopsida; Lamiales; Oleaceae. The record is from Rfam by way of RNAcentral.
CGACUGUUUACCAUAAAAAUAGGUCUCCACAAAGUUUUAAGAUCAUGCAUGAGGGUUGACGUCUAUCCAAUGCCGAAAGAUCAAGGAAGGUGAUGACCUGAUGAUCGAAGAAUGGGCUACCUUGUCAGAUAAGUUCCGACUCGCAUGAAAGGCGUAACGA